Molecule: ribosomal RNA, 117 nt
Filed under: Chloroflexota bacterium
Lineage: Bacteria; Bacillati; Chloroflexota
Source: RNAcentral
UCUGGUGACCAUAGCGGCGGGGAAACACCCGGUCCCAUCCCGAACCCGGAAGUUAAGCCCGCCAGCGCCGAUGGUACUGCCGGGGCGACCCGGUGGGAGAGUAGGACGUUGCCAGGG